UAUACAUUAUGCACAUUAGAAAUUGGUUUAUUUAUUCGUUUGCUGUAAGACUAAAAUUUAUAGGUUAGGUGUCUAUCUAUAUUAUUGUAUUAAACGUGUGUGUGUGUGUGUGUGUGUGUGUGCGUGUAGCGAAAGACUCGCGUAUAA
Cinara cedri is the source of this 147-nucleotide non-coding RNA. NCBI's taxonomy places the organism in Eukaryota, Metazoa, Arthropoda, Insecta, Hemiptera, Aphididae. The record is from the annotation of a GenBank genome assembly.